This 76-nucleotide transfer RNA is filed under the name Desulfurococcales archaeon. RNAcentral describes it as "tRNA-Thr". It matches the Rfam family "tRNA". From Rfam's summary of the family: Transfer RNA (tRNA) molecules are approximately 80 nucleotides in length. Their secondary structure includes four short double-helical elements and three loops (D, anti-codon, and T loops). The record is from RNAcentral. Lineage: Archaea; Thermoproteati; Thermoproteota; Thermoprotei; Desulfurococcales.
GCCGCCGUAGCUCAGCCGGCAGAGCGCCGGCCUCGUAAGCCGGCGGUCCCGGGUUCGAAUCCCGGCGGCGGCUCCA